AACUUGGGGCCAGGGGCAGGUGGAAAGAGGAGGAAGGAUCCUGCCCAACCUUAUAGGCCUGCAGCCUCCCUCCCAACAGGCCUUCUGGAGUCAGCAGGGGGGCAGAGGGGACUCUGGGCAGAGGGAGACAAACGAGAUUAAGGAUGCUUCCUGGCUUUGUAUCCUUUGCCAGUUCUCCUCCACCCAACCUCCUGGGAGGAACAAAUGGGACAUACACCCUGCCGCUUCUCCGCCCUUUACAUCUCCAGGGCCAGUAGUAGGGAGCGAGGGGGAGGAAGGGUCCGGCCCAGCGGCACUCCCUCAGCGUCUGCUCCCACGCCUGCUGGGAGUCAAGCAAGAAGGUCUGCCCCGGCCCCGGGCCUCCCUGCCUCUCUCCUGGCCAGAGAAGGGGAGCCGUGGGAAGAAGGACCCAACUCAGCCCCAGCCCCCAUCCAGCCGGAGGCCCUGCCCCUCACCCCCAGGAAGCUUCCAGGGCCUGUGAAGGAAGCUGGCAGGAAGAAGGUUUUCAAGAAGCCCGAGUUCUCAAUCAGACCCCCGGAGAGUCUCCAUCCUACAGGUGACCUGCCCAGCCAGAAGCAAAAUGCUCCUGAGGCCACUCAGAUGGCCCUGAGCCACCUGGGGCUUCAUGCCUGGCUGGGUCCCACCGGGCUGCUCCCCUUUAAGGGCUGAGAUUGGCACCUGGUGGCUGAGGAUGGCAAGCCCCUGCCUGCCUCCCGCAUCUACCUGGCCGGUCCAGCCUCAGCCCCCAUGUCUGAAAGCCCUGUUGGGAGACACCAAGAGACAGAGAUGCAGAGAGAAGCAAGGCAAAGAGGAAAGUGGGGCGGGCAGAGACCCCACGCUCCUAGAGGACCAGGAGGCAGAGGUGGAAAACAGGCAGGGAUGGGAGACACAGGGGGGACGUGGGCCUUCAGCAGAGAGGAGCACGUCCUCCUCCCAGCUCAUUCCCCCACCUGCUCCUGCACCCUGCUGGCCAGGUUGGUGCCUUCUCCUGCCUGCUGGCCCCUCUCCAGCCCCGACCUUGGCGCCUCUGCACCCCGCCCGGGGCAGGGCUCUGAUGACUGGGGCAGAACCCUGGGCUGGAGCCCACGGGUGCUUGGAAGCAGCCCUAGUGAGUUCCUGGCAGAGCUAGGCUGCAGGUGGUGGGGAAUGGGCCUCGGGCGGCCGGGGGCAGCCAGCUGUGUAAUGAGGCAGCACUCCACAUGCAGGCAGGAGGUGGGCAGGGCAGGGGCUCAGGUAAGCAGAGGGAGGGCCCAGCCCCGCCUGCCCCAGGUCCCCAGUCACGCUGCCCUGGAGUAUCCCAUGGGGGCUCAGGGCCCAGGAAACUCAGACGGAGCUGUGGGAGUCUUGGCAGGGGGCUGGGACCCACGAUAUAAC
This 1374-nucleotide long non-coding RNA is filed under the name Equus caballus (horse). Its description in RNAcentral is "lncRNA (ENSECAG00000050163.1)". The record is from RNAcentral. Lineage: Eukaryota; Metazoa; Chordata; Mammalia; Perissodactyla; Equidae.